GAGCUGUAGCUUAGUGGUAGCACAUCUGCUCUACGUGCAGAUGGUCCCAGGUUCAAUCCCUGGGAGGGGAUUCA
Non-coding RNA from Podarcis lilfordi (Lilford's wall lizard), 74 nucleotides. The record is from the annotation of a GenBank genome assembly. Lineage: Eukaryota; Metazoa; Chordata; Lepidosauria; Squamata; Lacertidae.